This 433-nucleotide ribosomal RNA is filed under the name uncultured bacterium. RNAcentral's name for it is "partial 16S ribosomal RNA". It matches the Rfam family "Bacterial small subunit ribosomal RNA", at positions 29 to 507 of the family's 1533-position model. The record is from RNAcentral.
AACGAACGCUGGCGGCAGGCCUAACACAUGCAAGUCGAGCGAGAUCUUCGGGUCUAGCGGCGGACGGGUGAGUAACGCGUGGGAAUAUGCCUCUUGGUACGGAAUAGCCUCGGGAAACUGGGAGUAAUACCGUAUGUGCCCUUUGGGGGAAAGAUUUAUUGCCAAGGGAUUAGCCCGCGUUGGAUUAGGUAGUUGGUGGGGUAAUGGCCUAUCAAGCCGACGAUCCAUAGCUGGUUUGAGAGGAUGAUCAGCCACACUGGGACUGAGACACGGCCCAGAAUCCUACGGGAGGGAGCAGUGGGGGAUCUUAGAAAAUGGGGGCAACCCUGAUGUAGCCAGGCCGGGUGAGUGAUGAAGGCCUUAGGGUUGUAAAGCUCUUUCAGCUGGGAAGAUAAUGACGGUACCAGCAGAAGAAGCCCCGGCUAACUCCGUG